AGGUGUGAUGGGUAUGCUGACUAUUUCAUUGCAGUUGUUGAUACAAAUGUUGGACGGGAUGAAGACCAGUAGGUUGCCAGCUUGGCACCUCAUUCUCCAGCAUAACAGUGACAUCUUUUCUCACUGUCUUUGGAUAUGGUUAUUAAAUCUCUCUAUAUGGAGAAACUGACACCGGAGAGGCGAAGUGCCUUGUUCAAGGUCACUGAAAAGGCAGCGCCCGCAAGCCGGCCUCCUAAAGGCAGACGGAAGCUGCAGCUCAGAGGGGGCACCGGGUGCGCUCCGAUCACCGGGCAGCCCUCUUUCGGCUGCUGGAUGCUGCGUCAUCGAACAGUGCGUGUUCCCCAAAUGAUGAUUGUGUCCUUCGUUUGCAACAAAGAAGAUCAGAACCACUUCCUCCCGUAAGCCUGCGAGUGGGGGGCGUGGCGAGUGCCCGCGGUGGGGUCGGCUCACCCCGCCCACUGCCGCUUAGGCUUCCCCAGCACCGACCACCCCUCCGGCCUCUCCCGGGAGAGAGCAGUGUGUUCGCUCUCCCGGCCUUUUCAGUGCUCUUUCUGCGACCAGGGGAGCGAGCGGAACUGCCUCCAGGCUUCACGUACUGGAGGUGCACGCUUUACAGAGAGAAGCCCAUCUCUGAAAGCGCAGCAUGCAUUAGCAUCCUCUCCUUCAGAGAGUGUUAUUUUUGUCUUUCGUUUUCCGAGACUGUUCCAAAGUAGGGGAUGCAAGUAUCAGGAUGAGAAGGAAAACGAGCCAGUGUCUCCCGCUCAGAAGAGAGCGAAUCACUGUCGUUUCCUCAACAACAUAACAACAACUGCGGCAGCAGUAAUGGAGAACAACCUGAGUUGGAGUGGAGCUGCCCUUGGGCACAGGACAACCAGCCUGCCCAGAUCUCUUUCUGUGGGAUUUCUUUCCUUACACUUAACAGGAAUGAGGAUCAGAUUUGACCGAGAUUAAGAAAGAAGAAAAUAUCCAAAACACCAUGGCUUAAACAAGAAAGAAGUUUAUUUCUCUCUCAUGCACUUGGAGUCUGGCGGUGAGCC
Long non-coding RNA from Dama dama (fallow deer), 1037 nucleotides. RefSeq lists it as uncharacterized. The transcript is spliced from 3 exons. The record is from RefSeq and is a predicted model, not a curated record. Lineage: Eukaryota; Metazoa; Chordata; Mammalia; Artiodactyla; Cervidae.